AUGGUCCUUGUCAUAUUGUACAAAAGAUUCUUUUCCAGAAAAUUACAAAUAUCAUUUAUUAGUCUUGAACAGAAGGCUUGGCAUAUAUCAGAGGCUUGUUGUUUUACACACUUUUCUUUCAGCUACAAUGACUGUUUAGAUUCUCACUCAUGUAGCACCCACACCUUUGAAAAAAAAUAUGUUCUUGUCCGUGUCCAUUUAUUUUUUCAAAUUAUUAUCGGUGUCACCGUCAGUGUCAAGGUCAAAUUUGAGGUGUCGGUGCUUAUAUAUUCUCACUGCUUUAGCAUGAGUUUCAUUUUAGAGUAA
Vicia faba (fava bean) is the source of this 306-nucleotide non-coding RNA. NCBI's taxonomy places the organism in Eukaryota, Viridiplantae, Streptophyta, Magnoliopsida, Fabales, Fabaceae. The record is from the annotation of a GenBank genome assembly.